CCCCCCCUUUCCCUAAUGAUGAUGUUUAGUCCUAGUAGGUCCCCCCUUUCCCUAAUGAUGAUGUUUAGUCCUAGUAGGUCUCCCCCUUUUCCCUAAUGAUGAUGUUUAGUCCUAGUAGGUCUCCCCCUUUCCCUAAUGAUGAUGUUUAGUCCUAGUAGGUCCCCCCCCUUUCCCUAAUGAUGAUGUUUAGUCCUAGUAGGUCCCCCCCUUUCCCUAGUGAUGAUGUUUAGUCCUAGUAGGUCUCCCCCUUUACCUAAUGAUGAUGUUGUUCAGUCCUAGUAGGUCCCCCCCCUUUCCCUAAUGAUGAUGUUUAGUUCUAGUAGGUUAGUCUAGAAUACACACACAAGCUGCUAGCUUACAGCAGGACUUACAUGUUUGUCUGUUGUGGUGCAGGCUUGGUCUAGUCCAG
Long non-coding RNA from Oncorhynchus tshawytscha (Chinook salmon), 409 nucleotides. Lineage: Eukaryota; Metazoa; Chordata; Actinopteri; Salmoniformes; Salmonidae. The record is from Ensembl.